This is a long non-coding RNA of Teleopsis dalmanni, 2350 nucleotides long. RefSeq lists it as uncharacterized. The transcript is spliced from 7 exons. NCBI's taxonomy places the organism in Eukaryota, Metazoa, Arthropoda, Insecta, Diptera, Diopsidae. The record is from RefSeq and is a predicted model, not a curated record.
GUCAAAAGUAAGGUCAAAAUUUUUAGUUCAUUAAAAAAAAAUGCGUGUUGUAAGGAAACGUAAGUCCCAUAAGGUUCAUAAAGUCAAAACUAUAACAAGAAAAAUAUUUAGAGCUGAAUUUACUUCCAUUAAAAGCUCCCGAGGUCGAACAGGGUUGGAGAUCUUACGUGAAGCUGAAAUGGAAGAAAAUCGCAAAAAAAGGAAAAAGAAAAAGGUUCGGCUUUGAAAAAAAUGGUAAGAACUAUAGAAAUAAGAUCCACAAGUUUUUAAGUGGUAUUUUGUGGAAGGGUGAGCUACGAACCACUUAAGCAGAACAUAACAACCAUACAAGCACAAAUAAAAGACACAUGACACAGCCUACAACCCGGUAGAGUUUCUGAGUCUGGAAGAAACUGCUACUGUGAAGCCUUAAACACUUGCUCGCCUCCAAUUGAAUCAUGUAAGAUUGCAAUAAAUGCUACACAAUUACUAAAAAGAAAGAUAAGUGCACAUUUCUACAAGCCUUCAACGUAUAAAACAGAAAUCACAGAUCAUGAAAAUCUUUUGAAAUGUAACACACACUAAUACGAUUAGCAAUAAAAAUAAUUUAGAGGUGGAUUCGGAGAAGGCUAAAAUUCUCUAUAAGCAUGGAAAAAUCCACUUAGGAAAUAUGGUAAAUACAAACCAAACACAAACAGGUAUACAGAUAUACAGCACAGUGCGAGUUUAACCUCUAGACAGCAACAUGGAGAGAAAUUCUUUAUGCUCAAUUACCAUAUCUUAUUAAAAUUAAAAUUAGAAAAGUGUUUGAAGACCCAACUAUAAAAAUUUGAUAUAUAAAUUGUUUUAAUUGAUUUGGGGACAGAAAAGAGAAAGUCGUCUCACUAUCAAAUCAGAUGCUGCAAGCAAAAUCGACCUGGAAAUGAUAUUACAAAAAGUCACGAAGUUGGAGUACAUAAUUAUAAGCAACAUACCAAUUUUUAAGACUUGCAAAAUCUUCUCGAUGAAAUGGUUCUGAUACUGACAACUCACUCAAGUAAAUAGACCAUAUAUCGAGAAGAAUCUAUAAUAAAAUCCUUUCGGAGAGCGUUCACUUACUUUUUCACACACUCUACGAAAUAUGUGUAGUCCUGAAGCAAUCUAAAAAUUAAUUAUACUCAUAAGAAAUUAAAUGUGACUUAAAAUUAAAUUAAUUUCAAAUUUUAAUUUAAAUGUAGCUCUUUCGGGAAAUGUCGACACAAUCAAGUGCAGAACUGAUGAGUUGCCCAAUGGCUGAUGGGGUAACUAUUCUGACUUAGGUUCAAUUCUAAUUAAUAAGUAAACGAUCCAUAGCCUUUGGAUAACGUAAAAUAAAACCUAACAAAUCUGAAUUUAAUGGACACCAUCGAAAAAAUAAUCAAGCAGAAGUAAAAAAAAGGAAAACAUCGGAAUUAUAAAUAGAAAUUUCCUUAUAAAAUACUUUUCGAUGAGGUUCGCAGAGUUAAUGAAUAUAUAACUGCAAUAUUGAUGACUGCUAGAGAAGCGGGAUGAGAACAUGACGACAAGUAGUGGAAGAUCCACCUGAAAAUGAAAUUAAUAACUUAUUAAAUGAAGAAUUAAAUGAAGAUAUUUAUAACAGGUUCAAUGUAUUUCUUCCAAUUCUUUGGUAUUCUUUCUGUUGCAGAAUUCAAAAAAUUGAAAUCAAUUAAUUUUUUCCAUUUCGUUUAUGGAAUGUAGUAUGCCUUUAAGUAGUGAAAGUAAUCCACCGUUUCCAACAUAAAAUGUAUCAAAUUACUUAAAUUAAAGAAUACAUAAGGUAUAUUUAAACAACCUAAUCUCCAAGAGAGAUUGUUCUGGACACUAUCAGGAAAAAGAUAAAGUUGGGAUUGCUGCUGUUCUUAGAAAUAUACUAGAAAUGUUUGACCUGCGUAUAAUGGCAAGACAAAGUUAUUAGGAAGAAGUCGAGACAUGUGUCACAAAGAAAGUUUAAAACAACAUUUUAUGAAAUUCGACGGUGCCAGUAAACAACUCAGCGUCUUAGAGUUCACAAAAUGAAUUCACCGGGUUUCCAAACACACAAAUGUACCAUAUGGUCGUACACAAUAUCAGAUUUUCUAAGUGUGGGUGGGUGUUUUCUAUUUGCUAGUGCUAUAGCCCAUUAUAGUCCAAUGCAUUGAAGAGAAACUUAUAAUAUGUAUGAAAAUUGGAAUAGUGACAAAAACCGUAAGCCCAGUAUUUUCAACAAUCUUCAUAUGUUAAAAAAUGAGAAAAAGACCUUAACAUUCAACGUCAUUAUAAUCCUUAUAACCAAUUUUAUAUUACAAUUAAAUUAGUUUUAAGCAACAAAAGAAAUAUAUUUUUUAAAUAAAAAUAUUUGGUACCGUAAUUAUUA